Molecule: ribosomal RNA, 253 nt
Filed under: uncultured bacterium
Lineage: Bacteria
Description: partial 16S ribosomal RNA
Rfam family: Bacterial small subunit ribosomal RNA
Source: RNAcentral
UACAUGUGGGGCAAGCGUUGUUCGGAAUUACUGGGCAUAAAGGGUGCGUAGGUGGCUUGUUAAGUCAGGGGUGAAAGUUUUCGGCCCAACCGGAAAAUGGCCUUUGAUACUGGCGAGCUCGAGUGCGUGAGGGGUAACCGGAACGAGCAGUGUAGCGGUGAAAUGCGUAGAUAUUGCUCGGAAGGCCAACGGCGAAGGCAGGUUACUGGUACGCAACUGACACUGAGGCACGAAAGCGUGGGGAGCAAACAGG